CAUCUUCGCUGUGCACGCCGCCGCCAUCCUCACCCUCAUGGAGCAUGAGAAGCCGCCAAAACCUACCAGAGGGAAACGCCUAGGUGAGGCUCCUCUACCACAUCCUAUGCGCGUGUCUCUUCAUGGGGCUCACACCUCAAGCUCGGGAAGGAGGAAUACAACUGUGCCUUGCUAGGUAAUAAUAUGUUCCCUGUGAUUUAGGAGGCAAAGGGAUCGGUAUACACCAGUUUGUCCACAUCAUUUAUAUAUCCAGCGCUGUUUGAGGCAAAGCAGCAGAUUAUUU
Molecule: long non-coding RNA, 283 nt
Organism: Lolium rigidum
Lineage: Eukaryota; Viridiplantae; Streptophyta; Magnoliopsida; Poales; Poaceae
Exons: 3
Source: RefSeq, a predicted model, not a curated record